GCUCCUACCGAUUGGAUGACUCGGUGAAAUCACCGGAUUCGUACGCGGAGAAAGUGAUUAAAUCACGUUAUCUAGAGGAAGGAGAAGUCGUAACAAGGUAACG
RNAcentral lists this ribosomal RNA (103 nucleotides) under Tetratrichomonas gallinarum. RNAcentral describes it as "partial 18S ribosomal RNA". It matches the Rfam family "Eukaryotic small subunit ribosomal RNA", at positions 1678 to 1804 of the family's 1831-position model. The record is from RNAcentral. Lineage: Eukaryota; Parabasalia; Trichomonadida; Trichomonadidae.